This 958-nucleotide ribosomal RNA is filed under the name human gut metagenome. RNAcentral's name for it is "bacterial SSU rRNA". It matches the Rfam family "Bacterial small subunit ribosomal RNA", at positions 365 to 1323 of the family's 1533-position model. The record is from RNAcentral.
UGGUCAAUGGGCGCGAGCCUGAACCAGCCAAGUAGCGUGGAGGACGACGGCCCUACGGGUUGUAAACUCCUUUUAUAAGGGGAUAAAGUUGGCCAUGUAUGGCCAUUUGCAGGUACCUUAUGAAUAAGCAUCGGCUAAUUCCGUGCCAGCAGCCGCGGUAAUACGGAAGAUGCGAGCGUUAUCCGGAUUUAUUGGGUUUAAAGGGAGCGUAGGCGGGCAGUCAAGUCAGCGGUCAAAUGGCGCGGCUCAACCGUAACGUUCCGCCGUUGAAACUGGCAGCCUUGAGUAUGCACAGGGUACAUGGAAUUCGUGGUGUAGCGGUGAAAUGCUUAGAUAUCACGAGGAACUCCGAUCGCGCAGGCAUUGUACCGGGGCAUUACUGACGCUGAGGCUCGAAGGUGCGGGUAUCAAACAGGAUUAGAUACCCUGGUAGUCCGCACAGUAAACGAUGAAUGCCCGCUGUCGGCGACAUAGUGUCGGCGGCCAAGCGAAAGCGUUAAGCAUUCCACCUGGGGAGUACGCCGGCAACGGUGAAACUCAAAGGAAUUGACGGGGGCCCGCACAAGCGGAGGAACAUGUGGUUUAAUUCGAUGAUACGCGAGGAACCUUACCCGGGCUUGAAUCGCAGGUGCAUGGGCCGGAGACGGCCCUUUCCUUCGGGACUCCUGCGAAGGUGCUGCAUGGUUGUCGUCAGCUCGUGCCGUGAGGUGUCGGCUUAAGUGCCAUAACGAGCGCAACCCCCCUCCCCAGUUGCCAUCGGGUAAUGCCGGGCACUUUGGGGACACUGCCACCGCAAGGUGCGAGGAAGGUGGGGAUGACGUCAAAUCAGCACGGCCCUUACGUCCGGGGCUACACACGUGUUACAAUGGGGGGUACAGAGGGCCGCUGCCCGGUGACGGUUGGCCAAUCCCUAAAACCCCUCUCAGUUCGGACUGGAGUCUGCAACCCGACUCCACGA